AAAGCGUUGCCGCAGGCAACGACCCGAAGGGCGAAACGCGCAGCGCUGAGUCAUCCUUCCCCCACCACCA
Molecule: small RNA, 70 nt
Filed under: Salmonella enterica
Lineage: Bacteria; Pseudomonadati; Pseudomonadota; Gammaproteobacteria; Enterobacterales; Enterobacteriaceae
Also listed under: 1 other name
Description: partial RtT sRNA
Rfam family: RtT RNA
About the family: This family represents a bacterial cis-regulatory element known as RtT RNA. The exact function of RtT is unknown although it is thought that it may be involved in changing the cellular response in relation to amino acid starvation.
Source: RNAcentral